AGAUUGAACGCUGGCGGCAUGCCUAACACAUGCAAGUCGAACGGGAGUAGCAAUACUCUAGUGGCGGACGGGUGAGGAAUACGUAGGAAUUUGCCCUUAAGUGGGGGAUAACCCGGGGAAACCCGGAUUAAUACCGCAUGACCUCGAAAGAGCAAAGUGGGGGAUCGCAAGACCUCACGCUUUUGGAGAAGCCUACGUCGGAUUAGCUAGUUGGUGAGGUAAUGGCUCACCAAGGCGACGAUCCGUAACUGGUCUGAGAGGAUGAUCAGUCACACCGGAACUGAGACACGGUCCGGACUCCUACGGGAGCAGCAGUGGGAAUAUUGGACAAGUGGGCGCAAGCCUGGAUCCAGCAAUGACCGCGUGUCGUAGAAGAAGGUCCGUUACGGGUUAGUAAACGCUAACCGUUUUAAAGGUUAGGGAAAGAAAAAACUACGGACUACUAACACAGU
Molecule: ribosomal RNA, 452 nt
Filed under: uncultured soil bacterium
Lineage: Bacteria
Description: bacterial SSU rRNA
Rfam family: Bacterial small subunit ribosomal RNA
Source: RNAcentral